UACGUAGGUGGCAAGCGUUGUCCGGAAUUAUUGGGCGUAAAGAGCUCGUAGGCGGCUUGUCACGUCGGGUGUGAAAGACCGGGGCUUAACCCCGGUUCUGCAUUCGAUACGGGCUGGCUAGAGUGUGGUAGGGGAGAUCGGAAUUCCUGGUGUAGCGGUGAAAUGCGCAGAUAUCAGGAGGAACACCGGUGGCGAAGGCGGAUCUCUGGGCCAUUACUGACGCUGAGGAGCGAAAGCGUGGGGAGCGAACAGG
Molecule: ribosomal RNA, 253 nt
Filed under: uncultured bacterium
Lineage: Bacteria
Description: partial 16S ribosomal RNA
Rfam family: Bacterial small subunit ribosomal RNA
Source: RNAcentral